CUGCUUUAAAUGCCGGCCGGCAGGUCGUAUAUUACAGGUGCCGGUUCGCCGGCUAUGGCGAUAAACGUGCUGUGAAAUAGGCAGAGCGGACCCGGGGGCGGUACCCGGCGCCUCCACCAUUUUAGCCGUGACCCGGAUGGGGUGAUGAUAACAGUUAUCCGGUUGGGCGGCUGAAAGCGUGGGGGCGAAAUAGGAUCGACGCAUGUAGUAAAGGCAGUAUUUUCGCCCGGUAUGGUACCCGCCGUUAUCGGGCCAUGUAGUAGUUGCAAACGACAACACUGCUCCGGUCGCAAUCGCAGCCUAACGGCAGCGGGAGUAACCGAUCUUAAAGUCCGGUCCGCUUGAGCUCGGGCCGGCGGGGUUCCGGAGCGCACCUGGCAACAGAAGCGCUCCACU
RNAcentral lists this transfer-messenger RNA (396 nucleotides) under Alphaproteobacteria bacterium. It matches the Rfam family "Alphaproteobacteria transfer-messenger RNA". From Rfam's summary of the family: Bacterial tmRNA, also known as 10Sa RNA or SsrA, is named for its dual tRNA and mRNA-like properties. Lineage: Bacteria; Pseudomonadati; Pseudomonadota; Alphaproteobacteria. The record is from RNAcentral.